Molecule: ribosomal RNA, 492 nt
Filed under: uncultured bacterium
Lineage: Bacteria
Description: partial 16S ribosomal RNA
Rfam family: Bacterial small subunit ribosomal RNA
Source: RNAcentral
AGUGAACGCUGGCGGUGGGCCUAACACACGCAAGUCGAACGGCAGCACAGUAAGAGCUUGCUCUUACGGGUGGCGAGUGGCGGACGGGUGAGGAAUACAUCGGAAUCUACUUUUUCGUGGGGGAUAACGUAGGGAAACUUACGCUAAUACCGCAUACGACCUACGGGUGAAAGCAGGGGAUCUUCGGACCUUGCGCGAUUGAAUGAGCCGAUGUCGGAUUAGCUAGUUGGCGGGGUAAAGGCCCACCAAGGCGACGAUCCGUAGCUGGUCUGAGAGGAUGAUCAGCCACACUGGAACUGAGACACGGUCCAGACUCCUACGGGAGGCAGCAGUGGGGAAUAUUGGACAAUGGGCGCAAGCCUGAUCCAGCCAUACCGCGUGGGUGAAGAAGGCCUUCGGGUUGUAAAGCCCUUUUGUUGGGAAAGAAAAGCAGCAGGUUAAUACCCCGCUGUUCUGACGGUACCCAAAGAAUAAGCACCGGCUAACUUCGUG